This 31-nucleotide non-coding RNA is filed under the name Rattus norvegicus (Norway rat). Lineage: Eukaryota; Metazoa; Chordata; Mammalia; Rodentia; Muridae. The record is from RNAcentral.
UCCNCCAUGGUCUCUGCAGAAGCCAGUCCCC